Molecule: small nuclear RNA, 24 nt
Filed under: Arabidopsis thaliana (thale cress)
Lineage: Eukaryota; Viridiplantae; Streptophyta; Magnoliopsida; Brassicales; Brassicaceae
Description: snRNA_01545
Source: RNAcentral
AUAGCGCUUAAGCGCGAACUUCGA